AGCGAACGCUGGCGGCAGGCUUAACACAUGCAAGUCGAACGGGCUUCUUCGGAAGUCAGUGGCAGACGGGUGAGUAACACGUGGGAACGUGCCCUUCGGUUCGGAAUAACUCAGGGAAACUUGAGCUAAUACCGGAUACGCCCUUUCGGGGUAAGGUUGACUGCCGAAGGAUCGGCCCGUGUCUGAUUCGCUUGCUGGUGGGGUAACGGCCUACCCAGGCGACGAUCAGUAGCUGGUCUGAGAGGAUGAUCAGCCACACUGGGAGUGAGACACGGACCAGACUCCUACGGGAGGCAGCAGUGGGGAAUAUUGGACAAUGGGCGCAAGCCUGAUCCAGCCAUGCCGCGUGAGUGAUGAAGGCCUUAGGGUUGUAAAGCUCUUUUGUCCGGGACGAUAAUGACGGUACCGGAAGAAUAAGCCCCGGCUAACUUCGUG
RNAcentral lists this ribosomal RNA (435 nucleotides) under uncultured bacterium. Its description in RNAcentral is "partial 16S ribosomal RNA". It matches the Rfam family "Bacterial small subunit ribosomal RNA", at positions 29 to 507 of the family's 1533-position model. The record is from RNAcentral.